AUUGAACGCUAGCGGGAUGCUUUACACAUGCAAGUCGAACGGCAGCGCGGACUUCGGUCUGGCGGCGAGUGGCGAACGGGUGAGUAAUGUAUCGGAACGUGCCCAGUAGCGGGGGAUAACUACGCGAAAGCGUAGCUAAUACCGCAUACGCCCUACGGGGGAAAGGGGGGGAUCGCAAGACCUCUCACUAUUGGAGCGGCCGAUAUCGGAUUAGCUAGUUGGUGAGGUAAAGGCUCACCAAGGCGACGAUCCGUAGCUGGUUUGAGAGGACGACCAGCCACACUGGGACUGAGACACGGCCCAGGCUCCUACGGGAGGCAGCAGUGGGGAAUUUUGGACAAUAGGGGCAACCCUGAUCCAGCCAUCCCGCGUGUGCGAUGAAGGCCUUCGGGUUGUAAAGCACUUUUGGCAGGGAAGAAAAGUUUCGGGCUAAUACCCUGGAGCGAUGACGGUACCUGCAGAAUAAGCACCGGCUAACUACGCGCCAGCCGCCACAGUAA
RNAcentral lists this ribosomal RNA (500 nucleotides) under uncultured bacterium. RNAcentral describes it as "partial 16S ribosomal RNA". It matches the Rfam family "Bacterial small subunit ribosomal RNA", at positions 30 to 523 of the family's 1533-position model. The record is from RNAcentral.